Non-coding RNA from Chiloscyllium plagiosum (whitespotted bambooshark), 581 nucleotides. Lineage: Eukaryota; Metazoa; Chordata; Chondrichthyes; Orectolobiformes; Hemiscylliidae. The record is from RefSeq and is a predicted model, not a curated record.
CCGAAGCUGUAGAAUGGGUUCAACCAACGCUCUUGUUCGUCUGGCAGAUGCUGCUCAACAUUCUGCGUUUCUCAUCCAUGCCGCCGCCAUCGUGACAUUGAACCCCGCGUCACCGAACGCGUCAUCGCGUCAGCAAGUCCUUAUACGUCAACACGUCGGGUGAUGUCAUUCCCGACCGUUGGCCCUGGCAACGCUCAAGCCUCCGUUCCGGACCUUUUUCGCUCUUCUCCUGCACUUUCUCACUUUCGCUACUGUUAUGGACCAGGACCGACCUCUCAAAAUAUUUUUAAGCAGGUAGCCCGGACUGUAACUUUGUUUUAGGAGGACACUACAUUAAGUUGUCAACAUUUUGAGGAAUAACUAACCUAGAAGAUCACAUCUCCAACGAUGGAACACAAUCACAAUGCUACAUGAAAUAUGUCCAUGUUAAAGUCUGUUGGAUAUUGGGGUCCCUUAAAAAACUGAUUUUGUAAGCAUAAGACACUGGAGCAGAACUUAGGCCACUCGAGUCUGCUCUGUCAUUCAAUCAUGGCUGGUAAGUUUCUCAACACCAUUCUCCUGUUUUCUUCCCAUAACCCUUG